This 269-nucleotide ribosomal RNA is filed under the name uncultured bacterium. RNAcentral's name for it is "partial 16S ribosomal RNA". It matches the Rfam family "Bacterial small subunit ribosomal RNA", at positions 85 to 354 of the family's 1533-position model. The record is from RNAcentral.
CUGCCGGCGACCGGCGCACGGGUGAGUAACACGUAUGGAACCUGCCCGCAGCAGGGGGAUAAGCGGAAGAAAUUCCGUCUAAUACCGCGUAACAACGUUGGGAGGCAUCUCCCGAUGUUUAAAGAUUUAUCGGCUGCGGAUGGCCACGCGGCGCAUUAGCUAGUCGGCGGGGUAACGGCCCACCGAGGCGACGAUGCGUAGGGGUUCUGAGAGGAAGGUCCCCCACACUGGUACUGAGACACGGACCAGACUCCUACGGAAGGCAGCAG